RNAcentral lists this ribosomal RNA (622 nucleotides) under uncultured Delftia sp. RNAcentral's name for it is "bacterial SSU rRNA". It matches the Rfam family "Bacterial small subunit ribosomal RNA", at positions 56 to 675 of the family's 1533-position model. The record is from RNAcentral. Lineage: Bacteria; Pseudomonadati; Pseudomonadota; Betaproteobacteria; Burkholderiales; Comamonadaceae.
UGCAAGUCGAACGGUAACAUGUCUUCGGACGCUGACUAGUGGCGAACGGGUGAGUAAUACAUCGGAACGUGGCCAGUCGUGGGGGAUAACUACUCGAAAGAGUAGCUAAUACCGCAUACGAUCUGAAGAUGAAAGCGGGGGACCUUCGGGCCUCGCGCGAUUGGCGCGGCCGAUGGCAGAUUACGUAGUUGGUGGGAUAAAAGCUUACCUCGCCGACGAUCUGAAGCUGGUCUGAGAGGACAACCAGCCCCACUGGGACUGAAACGCGGCCCAGACUCCUACCGUAGGCAACGGUGGGGAAUUUUGGACUAUGGGCGAAAGCCUGAUCCGACAAUGCCGCGUGCAGGAUGAAAGCCUUCGGGUUGUAAACUGCUUUUGUACCGAACGAAAAAACUUCUCCUAAUACCAGAGGCCCAUGACGGUACCGUAAGAAUAAGCACCGGCUAACUACAUGCCAGCGGCCGCGGUAAUACGUAUGGUGCGAGCGUUAAUCAGAAUUACUGGGCGUAAAGCGUGCGCAGGCGGUUAUGUAAGACAGAUGUGAAAUCCCCGGGCUCAACCUGAGAACUGCAUUUGUGACUGCAUGGCUAGAGUACGGUAGAUGGGGAUGGAAUUCCGCGUG